GGUGGCUCAGUGGUAGAGUGCUUGCCUUGCAUGCGUGAGGUCCUGGGUUUGAUUUCCCCAGCACCA
This 66-nucleotide transfer RNA is filed under the name Dipodomys ordii (Ord's kangaroo rat). It matches the Rfam family "tRNA". Rfam says of the family: Transfer RNA (tRNA) molecules are approximately 80 nucleotides in length. The record is from Rfam by way of RNAcentral. Lineage: Eukaryota; Metazoa; Chordata; Mammalia; Rodentia; Heteromyidae.